Non-coding RNA from Heterocephalus glaber (naked mole-rat), 3852 nucleotides. The record is from RefSeq and is a predicted model, not a curated record. NCBI's taxonomy places the organism in Eukaryota, Metazoa, Chordata, Mammalia, Rodentia, Bathyergidae.
UGGUGGUGAGAGUGGAAGAGCCCUGUUGUAAAGUAGUGGUCAGUUAUGUUCCCCGGUGCACCCAGGGAUGCUGCUAGCCCAGAUGGAAACCAGAGAGAAAGAGGGAGAGAGAGGGAGAAUCGCCACAUCUUUUCCUCUUAGCAGAUGGAAACCUACACCAGGAUGGGCUGGACUCGAACUCCUUCUAACCAUCUGUCAGUGAUUUAUUUGCACCCCACAGCCUGGUGGCUGGAAUGGCAGUGAUUCAUCAUUUCUGGCCGGUCAUCUGCCGCUCCUCGGGUGGCAGCCCACUCGCAAGGUCUUGCUGGUGGAGGAAGCCGUGGGUGGACCACGGUCCCUGCUGCCCAUGGUUUCCUGGGCUCCAGGUACAGGACAGUCCGACAAGGUCCUACGGUGCAGAGGUCACUGAGGCAGAAUUAGAACAUGGGUUUGCCACUGUCAGCAGCACGGUUGUCACUGAAACUUCUCGUUAUCAUUUACGCUGGGCCGGACCCAGGCCAAGACUAAGCUCUCUGCGAAUCGUUUAAUUAACCCUCACAAUUUCUCCAAGUGCAAGUGCAGUUGCUGUGCUUUUUGACAGAUACAGGAACUGAAGCUCACGGAGGUUAAAUAGCUUUAGCAAGGCAGCACAAGAACCAUCCCGGAGCCCGAAUGUAAGGCGCACUCCCAGGCUCAACCCACCGGAAGUUCCUUCGCCUCAACACUGUCCCCAGAUGUGGUGUCACUUGAGCUGCCGCCCCACGUGAUCCCCUCCUUUGUUGAGCCAUAAGCGUGAGUGUCAGUCACAGGGUCCCAAAGGCCGCACCCGGUGGGGUGCUGAGGGCUGGGGUGACAGAGCGGAGGGGCGGGAACGGGAACGGGGCGCUGUUGAAAUUGAAGCUAACUUCACAGCGCUGGGGAUCCUGCCUCCUGGAAGCGGCAGGGAGCAGGGAGCGGACCGCAGAGGUCGGAUGAAGGAGACAUGGGCGAGACGCAGACCAGCGAAGCGUCCUCUGCAGUUUCUCGUCAAUAAUUGCUAAAAACAGAUCCAGACACCCCACGCCUGCCUCGGCAGCCGGUGAGUCAAGAGCGCCUUUCUUUGAUCACGAAGUGAAAGCCCAGAGAAACGAUGUGGGAAGCUGCCAAGUGGACGCGACCCUUUCCCAAGCGCUGUCCGUGCAUCCAGACAAGAAAGAAGCGAGCUCUGCCAGCUCCGUGUGUUCCGGACUUCGUGAUUUCUGCAGGCUCCAUGCCCUGGAACUGAACCUCUUGCCGUAGCCCAUGUGUCACCAGCUCCAAGACACAAACCUGGCGGAGGAGCCUGGGCAGCAGGAGCAGAUAGGGGGAAAGGCACCCAGAGGGGAGCAUUCCCUUCCAGGUCACACCCCCGGAGCCACCGCCAGCUCCCCGCCUGCACACAGACAGCGUGUCCGCACCAGCUCCACCACGACCCAGGCUCCUUCCAAAAGCCCGCUGCCAACACACCAGCCCGGGGCCGUCCAGAGUGCAGGCGUCAGCACGCACGUUCCAGACCAGUGGUGGCGAGCCCAUGGCAUGCAUGUCAUUUGUUUGCCUUUUGAGAUGGAAGAUGCUAAUGUAUGAGUUGCUUUUUCUAAACUAAAACCUCGGUAUUCAGGUUUAAUGGAAGUGUUGGUUCUUUGAGAUAUAAGUGGGUUCGGGGUUGCAGUUUGGGGGCUCGUCUCUGAAAGCUUUGCUGUCACUGUCUAGACCUGGACCACCACAUGUGCGCGUGUCACGUCCUACACAGGCGUCUUGCACCGUGUUGGAGCUGCCAGGAGUCUUCUCAUGAGCUCCUCCCUGAGCCAAUGAACCUAACAUGAACCAGGCUAAUUCCUUUUGUCCCUGGCCCUUUGUAAAUUUUCACUAUAUGGAAGGGAGGAAAAAGGAGGGAAGGGAGAGAGAGAAAAAAAGAAACAAGAAAGGGAGAAGAGAGAAGAAGUCUCUAUUUAAAAAAAUCUAAAUGCUUGUAAAGUCACCAAGAUUUUACGCGUCCAACUCAGAUGAAGAAAUGUCAGCUGCCGUCAUAGCUAGCACAAUCUGCUUUAGGCUGGGUUACUAUAAAGACUCCUAGCCUGACCCUCUCUUCUCUGGAACCAGCCCAUGCCUCUAGCACUUUCCUCAGAACUUUCACAACUGUUUUGUUCUGAUCUGCACCAAUUUUGAUCUAUUUUCUGAAAGGUGUGGGUAUUUGAUAUCGGAUCCCUGUGUUUUCAGUGCCUUAUCCAAUGCUUUCCCCAGCUGAGGAGACAGCUACAUAGUUAAGAAACUACACAAACUCUUUCUUAAUCCUUAAAGGAGAAAACAUAUAUCAAAGCCCAUGGAAAAGUAGUGUAACUAAGGCUAGCAUAAGGAAGCAACUACUUUUUACAUGCAAACCAAUAUUAUCAAUGAUUUGCUUUUUUUAAGGGUAAAACAGGUUAAUUACUGAGUCUGAACUUUUAAAUUCCCCAGCACACACACACACACACACACCCUGCACACAAUUCCUAUUCUAUGAAAAACAGUCAUAGUUGGUUCUUAUUUAUAUUCCCCAUGAUUAUAUUUAAUGAAAUAAACUAUUAGUUUUUUACCCUAUGUUCACAAAAUAUCCCAAAAAUCUGUUACGUAUAAAAGCUCAGAGGCCCUGUUGGCAAAUGCUAUUUGGAGCAGGCAGCUGAGUGUUCCGGGAUGAGGCCUUUCCCGCCCCAAGCCGGGGUCUGGGGGCCUCCUGUGCUCCAGGCCCCUGCUGCGGGGACCUGAGCAGCAGGCCCAGUGGUGCUGACACCUUCUCCCCUGUCCAGCCCUGCAGGACGAGACUCCAGCUGAGGUACAGAAAACGGUGUACUCCCACAGAACGCCCUGCGUUCUUUACUGCCCAAGGACACUCAUGCCAGCUUUGGCCUUCUAACUUGGUAGCAUAGGCGCCAUCCACCUUUUCCUGGGAGAAGUACAGACAUUUUUAGUUACAUUUAAACUGUGAUGAUAAAAAUAGGAAAAGUAUUCUUUCCAUCUGAAAACCAAGCAGCCUGGGUCUGUUUAGAACCUGACUGUUGUGCAGAGAAUUUGGGCUUCUGGGGCCCAGAAGGUGCUUUGAUCCUCCAGAGACUGCCUUUAAUUCUGCCUGUUGGGUAAGAUGAACCCUAUCACCUCUUUAAAAUUCACCUGCGUGGCCAAGUAGGAUUUUCACUUCAAGUCGCAGUAAGUUUGGUUUCUUCUUGUAGUGAGUGCUGAUGUAAGACAUUGGUUUUUGAACAAAGAAAUGGAAAUUUUUUUUUUGGCAGGCCGCCAGGUCUACUGCCAGGUAGCAGAAGAGAAGUCGGAAUAGUGCUGAGCUACCCGUGCCCGGAGUGGUGGCCUGAGCCUGGAGAAGUGAGGCCAAGGCCCUCAGGCCUGGAUCUUCCCUGGUUCUACAGUUUCUUUGAUGUAAGGACGCCCUGCUGCAGUGAUGAUAGCUCGGAAUUCACGGGCCUGUGACCAUGGACAGUUUGGAAGGUCCCUCUUGACGCUAGGACCCAUCAAGGAAGUUAUUCUCUGAAGUGAGCUUUCCUUAGCACCUUUUUAGUUACCACAUUUUAAGAUGUUUCUCACAUAAAAUGAAUAUAUUUUGAAAGCCCAGUGCCUUGACUUACUAGGUGUUGCUCUGUAAUAGUUGUGUUUGCUUUUAGCAGCUUCCACUUCAUGUUCCAUAGAAGCCAGUUGCUGUUUGGUUUUGGCAGAGGUGAAUACCUCACCACGAACUUUCAGAUCCAGCUGGUUCUUCCAGCUACUCACCUUGAGUAUUUUUACAUUUUAAACAAAACUUAAUGGAUGUAAUGUCAUCAUUGUGAAUUGUAUCAUUAGUAAAAUAUUAACAAGGGUAUUUUAGAAAUUAAA